UACGUAGGAUGCAAGCGUUGUCCGGAAUUAUUGGGCGUAAAGAGCGAGCAGGCGGCAUAUCAAGUUGGACGUGAAAUUUUAGGGCUUAACCCUAAAGGGUCGUCCAAAACUGGUAAGCUAGAGUGCAGGAGAGGAAAGCGGAAUUCCCGGUGUAGUGGUGAAAUGCGUAGAUAUCUGGAGGAACACCGGUGGCGAAGGCGGCGUUCUGGACUGUUUCUGACACUGAAAAACGAAAGCCAGGGGAGCAAACGGG
Molecule: ribosomal RNA, 253 nt
Filed under: uncultured bacterium
Lineage: Bacteria
Description: partial 16S ribosomal RNA
Rfam family: Bacterial small subunit ribosomal RNA
Source: RNAcentral